ACUACCUUUUAGUAUAAAUAGAUAGCCUUUCAACCCUAAUUCUCAUUCAUCAGUUUCACAACAUUUUCAAGUCAGAGACCCAAAAACGUCAAAUCAAAACACAGAGUCAUAAUGGGAUCUUUGGCUGAAACACAUAUCACUUAGGUUAAAAAUCUCCGACGAAGAAGCCAACCUCUUUGCUAUACAGCCCGCUGGUGCCACCGUGCUUUCAAUGGUUCUUACAUCUGCCCUAGAGCUUGACCUUCUCGAGAUCAUAUCCAAGAAUGUUGCUCUCCCUAGGGGUCAACUGUCUCCUCGGAUGUAGCUUCUUAUCUUCCGACCAAAAACCCUGAUACUCCAAUCAUGGUUCACCGGAUCCUUAGGUUGCUUGCGGCUUACUUCAUCUUGACCUGCUCUGUUCUUUAGCUUUCUGAUAGCGGCGUGGAGCGUCUGUACGGAUUUGGACCAGUAUGCAAAGUACCUCACUAAGAACAAAGAUGGAGUCGCACUCGAUGCACUCUUGUUUUUGGAAUGUCCAACUACACCAUCGUCAUGACCAAGAUUCUAGAGACAUGCAAAGGCUUUCAGGGAUUUUUUCGGUUGAUGUUGGUGCCUGGUGGUGGCAUUGAAGUCACUUUCCGUAAUCCGUAUGAUUGUCUAUGUUCCCUCAUGUCAUUGCGGAAGCUGUUUCUUAUCCCGGUAUUGAACACAUUGGGGGAGAUAUGUCUCUAAAUAUCCCUAAAGCAGAUGACAUCUUCAUGAAGUGGAAAAAUGUCAUGAUUGGAGCGACCAACACUGUUUAAAAUUUCCGAAAAACUGCUAUGGACUGCCUCAUGCUGGCUCACAACCCCGGAGGCAAAGAACGGACUGAAAAGGAGUAUGGAACAUUAGCCAGAGGUUCUGGCUUCCAAGUUGUCUGCAGAGCCUAUGGUACUCACAUCAUGGAGUUCCUCAAGAAGAUAUGAGCCUUUUAAGUACAAAUAUCCAUGGAACAUUUUCUUCUCGUUUUUCUUUUGCGUCCAAGUAUUUUUCUACAUUUCCAAUGUUAUCUUGUUCUGCAUGUGUUGUCUCUCUGGCUUGUGAGGCCACUAUCGUCGUUGUUUACUUGUUUAAGCUGUUUUGAUGUUAUUGGAAAAGCAUUUCUUUGUAAUUGUACUCCGAUUUUAAUGCAUAUGACUUAUGAAAGUGGAUUAAAAGUUUGUUU
This is a long non-coding RNA of Brassica napus (rape), 1183 nucleotides long. RefSeq lists it as uncharacterized. NCBI's taxonomy places the organism in Eukaryota, Viridiplantae, Streptophyta, Magnoliopsida, Brassicales, Brassicaceae. The transcript is spliced from 3 exons. The record is from RefSeq and is a predicted model, not a curated record.